GUAGGGUGCAAGCGUUAAUCGGAAUUACUGGGCGUAAAGCGUGCGCAGGCGGUUGUGCAAGACCGAUGUGAAAUCCCCGGGCUUAACCUGGGAAUGGCAUUGGUGACUGCACGGCUAGAGUGUGUCAGAGGGGGGUAGAAUUCCACGUGUAGCAGUGAAAUGCGUAGAGAUGUGGAGGAAUACCGAUGGCGAAGGCAGCCCCCUGGGAUAACACUGACGCUCAUGCACGAAAGCGUGGGGAGCAAACAGGAUUAGAUACCCUGGUAGUCCACGCCCUAAACGAUGUCAACUAGUUGUCGGGUCUUAAUUGACUUGGUAACGCAGCUAACGCGUGAAGUUGACCGCCUGGGGAGUACGGUCGCAAGAUUAAAACUCAAAGGAAUUGACGGGGACCCGCACAAGCGGUGGAUGAUGUGGAUUAAUUCGAUGCAACGCGAAAAACCUUACCUACCCUUGACAUGGCAGGAAUCCCGGAGAGAUUCGGGAGUGCUCGAAAGAGAACCUGCACACAGGUGCUGCAUGGCUGUCGUCAGCUC
RNAcentral lists this ribosomal RNA (536 nucleotides) under uncultured bacterium. RNAcentral's name for it is "bacterial SSU rRNA". It matches the Rfam family "Bacterial small subunit ribosomal RNA", at positions 527 to 1061 of the family's 1533-position model. The record is from RNAcentral.